UUUUCUUCUAAAGUUCUGCAGUUAUACCCAGAUGCCACAGAAACAUAGGAUCUUAGAGGAGAAGUAACUUAGGACCACAGUUAAUUUGUUGGGCAUGUAUAUCAUUGACCCUGGAACAGCAAGUUGAAAGUGCACAGAUCUACUUAUAUGUGGAUUUCUUCCACUUCUGCGUCCCCUGAGACAGCAAAACCAACCUCUCUACUUCCUCCUCCUCUUCAGUCUACUCAAUGUGAAGACAACAAGGAUGAAGACCUUUAUGAUGAUUUACUUCCGCUUAAUAAAUAUCUUCAGUUCCUACCUGACAUGAUUUAUCCUCUGGAAGAAAACAAAUCCUGUGGUGACCAGAAUGACCACAAAAAGAGAGAGUUUCACAUAAAGAAUGAUCAGUAAGGACAACGCUGGAUCACCUGAGGUCAGGAAUUCGAGACCAGCCUGACCAACAUGGUGAAACCAUGUUUCUACUAAAAUACAAAAAUUAGCCGAGCGUGGUGGCAUGGGCCUAUAAUCUCAGCUACUCGGGAGGCGGAGGCAGGAAAAUCUCUUGAACCCAGGAGGCAGAGGUUGCAGUGAGCUGAGAUUGCACCACUGCACUCCAGCCUGGGUGACAGAUUGAGACUCUGUCUCAAAAAAAAAAAAAAAAGUAAAGUAAAAAAGAGAAAAAGAAAUUGGCCACCUAAAGAAUGUGUGAACUCUAAAUACAAGUCUGACUCCUGGCUCCAAGAGGUCAUUCUAUCCCAUUAAAUAACCUGCUCAAACACUAAACUAGAAAAAUGUCAGACAAUCCUAGGCAUUGUGAGGAAAUAAGAAAAUGAUAUGGUUACAGUCCUCAAAAUAUCUUAUAAUCCAACUGGAGAAGUCAGACUCAUACAAAUGAGAAGACAACUUAUAUGAAAGAAAAAUAAAAGCUCAAGACCCCAAUUCACUAUGCCAAAUGGGAAAAAUUAAGCUGAAAGCUGAGUCAUGCAAGCAACUACCUUUCCUUUUAUUCCUAAGCAGAUAGCUACAGAUAAAACAUAAAUUUCUCCACAGGUAGCUACUCUGUGUUCACCUUAUCAUAAUUGACUAUUCCUCUAAUUGCUCCUUUUCUCUUGCAACUUGUGAAUUACCACACCCUUCCUCUUUCCCCUCCAGCGCACUUUUACCCUUUAAAUAUUGAAGCCCUCAAAGUCAUCUUUGGAGAAAGGCACAGAUCACCGACUGUUUCUGAGAUUCUGUGGUGUUUUUUUUGUUUUGUUUUGUUUUGUUCUGUUUUGAUCUGUGCAAAUUGUCCUAAACCUUGGCAAAAUGAACUUCUAAAUUAAUUGAGACCUGUCUCCAAUACUUUUUAGUUAAAUGUACAAGAGAGAAAACAGUGCUGGAUGAACAUUACAGAUUAUAAAUCAUCUAAGGAAUUCAGAACGUUUAAUCAACUCUAACACAGAGGUCAGGGAGAAGCAGGACUUGAAAUGGACCUUGCUGGUCUGCGGGAUUGAAUAGGUUAAAAGAAAGACUUUUCAAGAUAAAGAACUAAUUUGAGAAAAGUUUUAAAGAUGAGUUUACCUAAGUCAUAUUUGGAGCAUAGAAUGGAAUAUGUAGAGAUGAGUCUGCAAUGAUUUGAACCUAAUUCUGCAGUGACUUGUAUGUGUCAGCAACUGUGCCAGACUUUAGGAAUACAAAAAUAAAAGUAGUGGUUCCAACUCUCAAGGACCUUACACUGUGCUGAGAGUCACAGAAGUAAGUGGUUGUAAUAUGAUAAGCAAUAUGUAUGUAUUUGGUCUUUGUCCCCCAGUUCCUGGCACACUUCCAAGGAUUUUUCCUAAACUUCUUGGAAGUUCCACAGUGAUCCAUCUUUUGUAUGCUAAUGAGAUGAGUGGUGGCUGGGAGCCUGAAGACAGCUUCAGGAUGGGGCUGGUAAUUAGAAAGACCAAGACAUGGUUAGAGGGUUGAAACUUUCAGCCCCACACCACCACUCUCCCCUUCCAUUGACCUCCUGGGAGGGGAGAGGGGCUAGAGAUUAAGCUAAAAACCAAUGCCCAACAAUUUAAUCAAUCAUACCUAUGUAAUAGAGCCUCCACAAAAACUCUACAUGACAGAGUCUGGAGAGCUUCUGGGUUGGGAGAUUUUCUGAGCUGGUGAACACACUGAGGGGCUGGGAGGUUGGCACUCCCAGAGACAUCACGGAAGCUCCUUCCCCCAUACCUUGCCCUAUGCAUCUCUUUUUAUCUUUUUUUGUCUGUUCCUGAGUUGGACACUUUACAAUAAAUUAGUAAUAGUAAAUAAGUGCAUUCCUGAGUGUCAAAUUUAAAAAUCUAAGCUGUUGGAAUUUUAAAAUAUGUUGAGCCUUAACGGAAUGUGAUUAUGAGACCUGAGUUAUGUAAACAAGCAGCUAUGACCUAGGCAGCCAAAAUUUUUGUUUACCUGAUUGUACAUUAGCCUUUUUCCUUGCCUACAUUGUUUUGUAAACUGCUGUAAAUGAUUAAAGGGUGCCAGGGAAGACGUAUUCCCUCUAAACUGUUGAUCUUCAUUAUUGAUUAACUUCCUUCUUUCUUCUCUCAUACAAUGACUACCACAUUGCCUAACAUGAAAUGUUAACUGUACUCUUAAAAUUGGAAAGGAAAUGAAAACAAACUGUACAGAAAAGAAAACAAACUGUAACUUUAAUUAAAUCAUUAUAACUCAUAAACCAGCUUUGUAUGUAAAAAGGGUAUAAUCCUACUGAAUUUGUUUUCUGCCUAUAUAAGCAAGACCUUAAGUUUGAAGUUUGAAGCACUGACCCCAUUCCUUUGGAGUCUGUGUUACCCGAAUGGCUGUUCUCAGACUUUUGCUUAAAUAAACUCUUUUAAACUGG
Molecule: long non-coding RNA, 2827 nt
Filed under: Homo sapiens (human)
Lineage: Eukaryota; Metazoa; Chordata; Mammalia; Primates; Hominidae
Description: HSALNT0058809
Source: RNAcentral